CUUCCAUCUUCACUGGGUCCUUCAUUUUUUCCUAUGAUUUAUUUUAAAGAGAAUAGCUAAUAUACUGGAUCAUUACACAGUACCAUAAGGAAAUAAGUGGAUGCUCUUCAGGUAAGGAGGACGUACAGGCACAUGGGGAUUUAAAGCAGUACUGAGAACGUAAUUAAUAAAUUGCCUGGCUUGCAGAAGCCUCAGACUGUGUCUGAUAAUAAGGAUCUCCAUUACAGAGGAUGUCAAAGGAGAAAAGUGGCAGGAGGUGUCUUUCAGUGGCACAUCACUGACUCCAGUCUUCCCUCCUAACCGUGGAGUGUUAAGGAAACUCGUGGGACACGUUCAGUUUAGUUCAGAUUUAG
This 353-nucleotide long non-coding RNA is filed under the name Crocodylus porosus (Australian saltwater crocodile). RNAcentral's name for it is "lncRNA (ENSCPRG00005012669.1)". Lineage: Eukaryota; Metazoa; Chordata; Crocodylia; Crocodylidae. The record is from RNAcentral.